GGAUCAGUGGCGAACGGGUGAGUAACACGUGAGCAACCUGCCCCUGACUCUGGGAUAAGCGCUGGAAACGGCGUCUAAUACUGGAUAUGUGACGUGACCGCAUGGUCUGCGUUUGGAAAGAUUUUUCGGUUGGGGAGGGGCUCGCGGCCUAUCAGCUUGUUGGUGAGGUAAUGGCUCACCAAGGCGUCGACGGGUAGCCGGCCUGAGAGGGUGACCGGCCACACUGGGACUGAGACACGGCCCAGACUCCUACGGGAGGCAGCAGUGGGGAAUAUUGCACAAUGGGCGAAAGCCUGAUGCAGCAACGCCGCGUGAGGGAUGACGGCCUUCGGGUUGUAAACCUCUUUUAGCAGGGAAGAAGCGAAAGUGACGGUACCUGCAGAAAAAGCGCCGGCUAACUACGUGCCAGCAGCCGCGGUAAUACGUAGGGCGCAAGCGUUAUCCGGAAUUAUUGGGCGUAAAGAGCUCGUAGGCGGUUUGUCGCGUCUGCUGUGAAAUCCCGAGGCUCAACCUCGGGCCUGCAGUGGGUACGGGCAGACUAGAGUGCGGUAGGGGAGAUUGGAAUUCCUGGUGUAGCGGUGGAAUGCGCAGAUAUCAGGAGGAACACCGAUGGCGAAGGCAGAUCUCUGGGCCGUAACUGACGCUGAGGAGCGAAAGGGUGGGGAGCAAACAGGCUUAGAUACCCUGGUAGUCCACCCCGUAAACGUUGGGAACUAGUUGUGGGGUCCAUUCCACGGAUUCCGUGACGCAGCUAACGCAUUAAGUUCCCCGCCUGGGGAGUACGGCCGCAAGGCUAAAACUCAAAGGAAUUGACGGGGACCCGCACAAGCGGCGGAGCAUGCGGAUUAAUUCGAUGCAACGCG
This 863-nucleotide ribosomal RNA is filed under the name Microbacterium paraoxydans. RNAcentral's name for it is "bacterial SSU rRNA". It matches the Rfam family "Bacterial small subunit ribosomal RNA", at positions 89 to 963 of the family's 1533-position model. The record is from RNAcentral. Lineage: Bacteria; Bacillati; Actinomycetota; Actinomycetes; Micrococcales; Microbacteriaceae.